GGGACGCAACGGGAAGAACCGCACCCCGGCCUGGCGCCGCCUAUUGGCGGGACCUUCGCAAGCUGGAGCCUAGAGAGGCAUUUCCUGAACACCCAUCAUGUCCCAAGCCCCUUGCUAGAGAUGCCGAGAACAAACGACACGGGUCUCGCCUUCAAGCAGCCGGCAGCCCAGUGAGGGACACCUGCAAGUGACCAGUGACAGGGCUGUUCUGAGGGCCAGCGAAGAAGCCGGCUGGAAUCGAAUGCCGUGGCUGCACAGCAGAGGGCAGGACCCGGCUUAGCCUGGCCCAGCGCGCGUUAUGACGCAGUUAACACUGCGGGGUGAGCCCCCUCCCGUAGGUCUCUCCGUGUGCACCCUGGGUGAAAACAUGCGUAAAGGAGGUGGGCGUGCCUGAGCACGGGAACCUGAGCUGUCAGCCAGCCUGGGCACUCAAGGACGGAGGCCGUCAGUAAUCGAUCAUGAACACGCCCCCCAUGCCAGGCUACGGGAACAGGGAAAACAGGAGAGGCGCCGUUCCUCCUCCUGGGCCUCCCCCAGUCCUCGGGGGUGUACCUACCACACCGCCUUUCACUUCACCAGUAAAAUCUA
Non-coding RNA from Vicugna pacos (alpaca), 588 nucleotides. Lineage: Eukaryota; Metazoa; Chordata; Mammalia; Artiodactyla; Camelidae. The record is from RefSeq and is a predicted model, not a curated record.